RNAcentral lists this transfer RNA (63 nucleotides) under Cryptocercus shangmengensis. RNAcentral's name for it is "tRNA-Gly". Lineage: Eukaryota; Metazoa; Arthropoda; Insecta; Blattodea; Cryptocercidae. The record is from RNAcentral.
AUUUAUCUAAUAUAAUAAGUAUAUUUGACUUCCAAUCAAAAAGUUUGAAUAACAAGAUAAAUA